GGGGUUGUGGCUCAGUGGCAGAGUGCUUGUCUAGCACAUGUGAGGCACUGGGUUCGAUCCCCAGCACCACA
RNAcentral lists this transfer RNA (71 nucleotides) under Marmota monax (woodchuck). Its description in RNAcentral is "tRNA.Ala". It matches the Rfam family "tRNA". Rfam says of the family: Transfer RNA (tRNA) molecules are approximately 80 nucleotides in length. Their secondary structure includes four short double-helical elements and three loops (D, anti-codon, and T loops). The record is from RNAcentral. Lineage: Eukaryota; Metazoa; Chordata; Mammalia; Rodentia; Sciuridae.